This 1410-nucleotide ribosomal RNA is filed under the name uncultured bacterium. RNAcentral's name for it is "bacterial SSU rRNA". It matches the Rfam family "Bacterial small subunit ribosomal RNA". The record is from RNAcentral.
AGAGUUUGAUCCUGGCUCAGGACGAACGCUGGCGGCGUGCUUAACACAUGCAAGUCGAGCGGACGGAGGAACUUCGGUUCCGAAGUUAGCGGCGGACGGGUGAGUAACGCGUGAACAAUCUGUCCCAGACAGGGGGAUAACACAUCGAAAGGUGUGCUAAUACCGCAUAAGACCACGGUGCCGCAUGGCACAGGGGUAAAAGAACGGAAUCGGUUUGGGGUGAGUUCGCGUCUGAUUAGCUAGUUGGUGAGGUAACGGCCCACCAAGGCGACGAUCAGUAGCCGAUCUGACAGGAUGACCGGCCACAUUGGAACUGAGAGACGGUCCAAACUCCUACGGGAGGCAGCAGUGGGGAAUAUUGGGCCAUGGGCGCAAGCCUGACCCAACAACGCCGCGUGAGGGAAGAAGGUUUUCGGAUUGUAAACCUCUGUCCUAAGGGAAGAAAGGAAUGACGGUACCUUAGGAGGAAGCCCCGGCUAACUACGUGCCAGCAGCCGGGGUAAUACGUACGGGGCGAGCGUUGUCCGGAAUGACUGUGCGUAAAGGGCGUGUACGCGGCCCGUUAACUUAAGAGUGAAAGUCCACCUCUCAAGGUUGGAAAUGGUAUUAAUACUGAUGGGCUUGAGUGCAGAAGAGGUAAGUGAAUUUCCCAGUGUAGCGGUGAAAUGCGUAGAGAUGGAGGGAACACCAGUGGCGAAGGCGACUUACUGGGCUGUAACUGACGCUGAGGCGCGAAAGCGUGGGGAGCGAACAGGAUUAGAUACCCUGGUAGUCCACGCGGUAAACGAUGAAUGCUAGGUGUAGGGGGUAUCGACCCCUCCUGUGCCGGAGUAAACACAAUAAGCAUUCCGCCUGGGGAGUACGGCCGCAAGGUUGAAACUCAAAGGAAUUGACGGGGGCCCGCACAAGCAGCGGAGCAUGUGGUUUAAUUCGAAGCAACGCGAAGAACCUUACCAGGUCUUGACAUCGAUCUAAGCCCUAAGAGAUUAGAGGUGCCUUCGGGCAAGAGAAGACAGGUGGUGCAUGGUUGUCGUCAGCUCGUGUCGUGAGAUGUUGGGUUAAGUCCCGCAACGAGCGCAACCCUUAUCUUCAGUUACUAGCGCGCGAUGGCGAGGACUCUGGAGAGACUGCCGGGGACAACUCGGAGGAAGGUGGGGACGACGUUAAAUCAUCAUGCCCCUUAUGACCUGGGCUACACACGUGCUACAAUGGUGUUGAACAAAGAGGAGCGAGCCUGUGAAGGUAAGCGGAUCUCAAAAAAGACAUCUCAGUUCGGACUGUGGGCUGCAACCCGCCCACACGAAGUUGGAGUUGCUAGUAAUCGCGAAUCAGAAUGUCGCGGUGAAUACGUUCCCGGGCCUGUACACACCGCCCGUCAAGGGCGAUUCGCGGCCGGUAAAUUCAUUCGCC